GGGGGCUAGCGUUGUUCGGAUUGACUGGGCGUAAAGGGCGCGUAGGCGGCCUGUUUAGUCAGGCGUGAAAUUCCCGGGCUUAACCUGGGGACUGCGCUUGAUACUGCUGGGCUUGAGGGUGGAAGAGGGUCGUGGAAUUCCCAGUGUAGAGGUGAAAUUCGUAGAUAUUGGGAAGAACACCGGUGGCGAAGGCGGCGACCUGGUCCAUUACUGACGCUGAGGCGCGACAGCGUGGGGAGCAAACAGGA
Molecule: ribosomal RNA, 248 nt
Filed under: uncultured Roseomonas sp.
Lineage: Bacteria; Pseudomonadati; Pseudomonadota; Alphaproteobacteria; Acetobacterales; Roseomonadaceae
Description: partial 16S ribosomal RNA
Rfam family: Bacterial small subunit ribosomal RNA
Source: RNAcentral